UACCAGCACCCCGAGUGGUCGGGACGAUUAUUGGGCCUAAAGCCUCCGUAGCCGGCCUUACAAGUCCUCCGUUAAAUCCAGCUGCUUAACAGAUGGGCUGCGGAGGAUACUAUGAGACUAGGAGGCAGGAGAGGCAAGCGGUACUCAGUGGGUAGGGGUAAAAUCCGUUGAUCCAUUGAAGACCACCAGUGGCGAAGGCGGCUUGCCAGAAUGCGCUCGACGGUGAGGGAUGAAAGCUGGGGGAGCAAACCGG
RNAcentral lists this ribosomal RNA (253 nucleotides) under uncultured bacterium. RNAcentral's name for it is "partial 16S ribosomal RNA". It matches the Rfam family "Archaeal small subunit ribosomal RNA", at positions 474 to 727 of the family's 1478-position model. The record is from RNAcentral.